UUCCAUCAGCUACAAAUGCCCCCAGU
This 26-nucleotide non-coding RNA is filed under the name Rattus norvegicus (Norway rat). Lineage: Eukaryota; Metazoa; Chordata; Mammalia; Rodentia; Muridae. The record is from RNAcentral.